RNAcentral lists this ribosomal RNA (320 nucleotides) under Candida albicans. Its description in RNAcentral is "eukaryotic LSU rRNA". The stretch from base 1 to 76 matches the Rfam family "5.8S ribosomal RNA", at positions 79 to 154 of the family's 154-position model. The record is from RNAcentral. Lineage: Eukaryota; Fungi; Ascomycota; Pichiomycetes; Serinales; Debaryomycetaceae.
AUUUCGUGAAUCAUCGAAUCUUUGAACGCACAUUGCGCCCUCUGGUAUUCCAGAGGGCAUGCCUGUUUGAGCGUCAUUUCUCUCUCAAACCCCCGGGUUUGGUAUUGAGUGAUACUCUUAGUCGAACUAGGCGUUUGCUUGAAAAGUAUUGGCAUGGGUAGUACUGGAUAGUGCUGUCGACCUCUCAAUGUAUUAGGUUUAUCCAACUCGUUGAAUGGUGUGGCGGGAUAUUUCUGGUAUUGUUGGCCCGGCCUUACAACAACCAAACAAGUUUGACCUCAAAUCAGGUAGGAAUACCCGCUGAACUUAAGCAUAUCAAU